UGUCAUGGAAAGGCAUAGAAGCGUAGGACGCUCGAGUAUAGGUAUCCGUGGAGUGCGGAUUUGGUACAGCCGUGUGGGUGUGUUGGCAGUAGCACUUGAGUAUUGCUAGGUGUAAAGCAUGUCAUGGAUCACUCGUAGGGUUGGUGGCUCACACUAGAUGCUUAGGAGCCGGUGGAGGUUUGUGAGAUUCGGUAGAGCGUGUCGUGUGUGAUGACGGUAGCGGGUAUUGCUUGAGAACUGUAAGAUGCCGAACUUCUGAAGUUAUGAAGUUACGGUGGAAUGUGAUGUACCAGAUUUUAAUAUAAAAGUAGAAAUAAAUAAAAAUAGUGUAAGAUACUAUUUUUAUUGGACUUAGAGAAGUAAAAUAUAAAUUGAAAACGACUUGUGCUGAAAUCGGAACUGAAACAGAAGAUUUAGAACUUUCUAUAAGAAAUAGGGCUGAUAUUUUAGCAGAAAAUUCAUAGUGUCAGAAAAUUAUAAAAAUUGGAGAAUAUGUUGGAAUUAUUUUUAUGAGACUAAAUUUAAAGUUUCAUGUCAUUUUGACACCCGAAAAGUGAAAAAAAAAUAUGAUUGCUAUCUGCUAGAGAUUCUAGUCGCUACAGCUUUCGGUGACCCAAAAAUGGUCCAAACUGAAAAGUUAAGAUAUAUUUCUUUUAUUUAAGUUAAACUGAGACAGCUUGU
This 681-nucleotide long non-coding RNA is filed under the name Ananas comosus (pineapple). Its description in RNAcentral is "long non-coding RNA (ACOM_LNC001929)". Lineage: Eukaryota; Viridiplantae; Streptophyta; Magnoliopsida; Poales; Bromeliaceae. The record is from RNAcentral.